Molecule: ribosomal RNA, 497 nt
Filed under: uncultured bacterium
Lineage: Bacteria
Description: partial 16S ribosomal RNA
Rfam family: Bacterial small subunit ribosomal RNA
Source: RNAcentral
GAUGAACGCUGGCGGCGUGCCUAACACAUGCAAGUCGAGCGAACAGACGAGGAGCUUGCUCCUCUGACGUUAGCGGCGGACGGGUGAGUAACACGUGGAUAACCUACCUAUAAGACUGGGAUAACUUCGGGAAACCGGAGCUAACACCGGAUGAUAUAUUGAACCGCAUGGGUCAUUAGAGAAAGACGGCUGUGCUGGCACUAAUAGAGGCAUCCGCGCUGCAUGAGCUAGUUGGUAGGGUAACGGCUUACCAAGGCUAGGAUGCGUAGCCGACCUGAGAGGGUGAUCGGCCACACUGGAACUGAGACACGGUCCAUACUCCUACGGGAGGCAGCAGUGGGGAAUCUUCGGCAAUGGGCGAAAGCCUGACGCAGCAACGCCGCGUGAGUGAUGAAGGUCUUCGGAUCGUAAAGCUCUGUUAUUAGGGAAGAACAGCUGUGUAAGUAACUAUGCACGUCUUGACGGUACCUAAUCAAAAAGCCACGGCUAACUACGUG